GAAAUGCAUCAAGAGCGUAAUUGAUACGCACCAACCGAGCUUUAUGCUAUUGUAGCCACGGUGGUAAAAUGAUGUGGAUUGUCCAAUCAAAAAUCAAACAAUAU
Molecule: non-coding RNA, 104 nt
Filed under: Prevotella sp.
Lineage: Bacteria; Pseudomonadati; Bacteroidota; Bacteroidia; Bacteroidales; Prevotellaceae
Also listed under: 1 other name
Description: SAM-I-IV sequence
Rfam family: SAM-I/IV (S-adenosyl methionine) riboswitch aptamer
About the family: It is found upstream of a number of genes which code for proteins involved in methionine or cysteine biosynthesis. It has been found mostly in the order Actinomycetales.
Source: RNAcentral